Molecule: transfer RNA, 70 nt
Rfam family: tRNA
About the family: Transfer RNA (tRNA) molecules are approximately 80 nucleotides in length. Their secondary structure includes four short double-helical elements and three loops (D, anti-codon, and T loops). Further hydrogen bonds mediate the characteristic L-shaped molecular structure. tRNAs have two regions of fundamental functional importance: the anti-codon, which is responsible for specific mRNA codon recognition, and the 3' end, to which the tRNAs corresponding amino acid is attached (by aminoacyl-tRNA synthetases). tRNAs cope with the degeneracy of the genetic code in two manners: having more than one tRNA (with a specific anti-codon) for a particular amino acid; and 'wobble' base-pairing, i.e. permitting non-standard base-pairing at the 3rd anti-codon position.
Source: Rfam
CCCGUUGGUCAAGCGGUUAAGACACCGCCCUUUCACGGCGGUAACACGGGUUCGAAUCCCGUACGGGUCA